RNAcentral lists this ribosomal RNA (375 nucleotides) under uncultured bacterium. Its description in RNAcentral is "bacterial SSU rRNA". It matches the Rfam family "Bacterial small subunit ribosomal RNA", at positions 434 to 793 of the family's 1533-position model. The record is from RNAcentral.
CAGUCGUGAGGAAGGUAGUGUAGUUAAUAGCUGCAUUAUUUGACGUUAGCGACAGAAGAAAGCACCGGCUAACUCCGUGCCAGCAGCCGCGGUAAUACGGAGGGUGCGAGCGUUAAUCGGAAUUACUGGGCGUAAAGCGCAUGCAGGUGGUUUGUUUAAGUACAGAUGUGAAAGACCCGGGGCGUCAACCUACGGAAGUAGCAUUUGUAAACUAGGCAGACUAGAGUACUGUAGAGGGGGGUAGGAAUUUCAGGUGUAGCGGUGAAAUGCGUAGAGAUCUGAAGGAAUACCGGUGGCGAAGGCGGCCCCCUCGGACAGAUACUGACACUCAGAUGCGAAAGCGUGGGGAGCAAACAGGAUUAGAUACCCUGGUAG